AGUGAACGCUGGCGGCGUGCCUAAUACAUGCAAGUCGAACGGAGUGGCGCACGGGUGAGUAAUGUAUAGCUAAUCUGCCCUACACUAGAGGACAACAGUUGGAAACGACUGCUAAUACUCUAUAGUGUAGGAUGAGGGUAUAUUGUAUCAGCGAGUUGGUGAGGUAAUGGCUCACCAAGGCUAUGACGCAUAACUGGCCUGAUAGGAUGAUCAGUAGAACUGGAACUGAGACAAGGUCCAGACUCCUACGGGAGGUAGCAGUAGGUAGUAUUACUCAAUGGGGGAGACCCUGAAGCAGCAACGCCGCGGGGAGGAUGACACUUGUCGGAGCGUAAACUCCUUUUGUUAGGGAAACGGUACCUAACGAAUAAGCACCGGCUAACUCCGUGCCAGCAGCCGCGGUAAUUC
RNAcentral lists this ribosomal RNA (408 nucleotides) under uncultured bacterium. Its description in RNAcentral is "partial 16S ribosomal RNA". It matches the Rfam family "Bacterial small subunit ribosomal RNA", at positions 29 to 526 of the family's 1533-position model. The record is from RNAcentral.